GCCCCGCUAGCUCAGCGGACAGAGCACCGCCCUCCUAAGGCGGGUGUCGCUGGUUCGACUCCAGCGCGGGGCG
This 73-nucleotide transfer RNA is filed under the name Micromonospora sp. C51. Its description in RNAcentral is "tRNA-Arg". It matches the Rfam family "tRNA". From Rfam's summary of the family: Transfer RNA (tRNA) molecules are approximately 80 nucleotides in length. Their secondary structure includes four short double-helical elements and three loops (D, anti-codon, and T loops). Lineage: Bacteria; Bacillati; Actinomycetota; Actinomycetes; Micromonosporales; Micromonosporaceae. The record is from RNAcentral.